CUUACCUCCAUCUGAAAUCAUUUGUGGCCUCACACUGCAAGGGUCCAUGUGCCGAACCACCAAAUAUUGGCGCCUUAGAACAGAUAUGCCUACAGGGCAGUAUACCCAAAAAAAUCCUGUCGAAACUAUAUGCGCUACUGAAUGCAGUAGAUACAAACAGACACGGAGACUUUAGAGAUGCCUGGCAGAAAGACAUAGGACGCCCAAUAGCAGACCUAGACUGGAAACAGGCAUUCCAAACACACAAAGGGCACACAUCAUGCACGACUCACCUAGAAACAAUGAGGAAAAUUAUGUACAGAUGGUAUAUGGUCCCAGACAAACUAGCGAAACUAUACCCGGGAAGCUCAGGGGAAUGCUGGAGGAGUUGCGGAGAAAGGGGGACAAUGUACCACAUUUGGUGGACGUGCCCGAUAAUCACUCCCUACUGGGAGAUGGUGGAAGAGAUAAUCACUGACAUGAUAGGCCGCCCUUACAGCUUGGGGCCUGAACAGGGCAUACUAUUCAUGCAUUUUGCCCAAUGGCACAAGCAGGAAAGACAAUUGAUAUUCCAAGUGCUCAUAGCGGCAGUAACCCUGAUAGCCAGACAGUGGAAACAACCACAAGCACCCAGCAAACACGAUCUCCUAACACAAACAUCCACAAACUGGGAAUAUGAGGCUAUGGCAAAUAAAUACAUUACAAAUAACCACACGAUCAUAGACACAAAAAACAAAUGGGCAAAAUACAUUCAGAGAAGUUCACACCACUCCAGAACUCAGGACGCAUAGGUACGCUAAGACACGAGAGAUCGAGUAGAGAACCAAAGCUAGAGAGACGGGGAACGUCUGAGACUUGACCUGGGAGGAGGUCCUAACACAUAGAACCGAUGGUACAUUGGAGGUAGAAAGGUAGAACUAGCAACUAGGAAACAUAGGCCCUGAGGGAGGGCAAAGAGGAACACCAUUUUCAAGAGGUCCACAAACUGAAUCUCUUCCCCUUUCUUCCCUUAAUUCUUUCCCUUCC
Non-coding RNA from Pelobates cultripes (western spadefoot toad), 1005 nucleotides. The record is from the annotation of a GenBank genome assembly. NCBI's taxonomy places the organism in Eukaryota, Metazoa, Chordata, Amphibia, Anura, Pelobatidae.